RNAcentral lists this ribosomal RNA (246 nucleotides) under uncultured bacterium. Its description in RNAcentral is "partial small subunit ribosomal RNA". It matches the Rfam family "Bacterial small subunit ribosomal RNA", at positions 26 to 285 of the family's 1533-position model. The record is from RNAcentral.
AGAAUCAACGCUGGCGGCGUGCCUAACACAUGCAAGUCGAACGAGAAAGUGGGAGCAAUCCCACGAGUAAAGUGGCGCACGGGUGAGUAACACGUGACUAACCUACCCUUGAGUGGGGGAUAACCUAGGGAAACCUGGGCUAAUACCGCAUAAUACCUACGGGUCAAAGGAGCAAUUCGCUUUAGGAGGGGUCGCGGCAGAUUAGUUGGUUGGCGGGGUAAUGGCCCACCAAGACAGUGAUCUGUA